AGACUAACAGGAUUCCCCUAGUAACUGCGAGUGAAGAGGGAAAAGCUCAAAUUUAAAAUCUGACAGUCUAUGGCUGUCCGAGUUGUAAAUUAGAGAAGUGUUAUCUGCUCAAGCCUGUGCAAAAGUCUCUUGGAAAAGGGCAUCAUAGAGGGUGACAAUCCCGUCUUUGGCACAGAUCACUUGCGCUUUUGUGAUGCGCUCUCAAUGAGUCGAGUUGUUUGGGAAUGCAGCUCCAAAUGGGUGGUAAAUUCCAUCUAAAGCUAAAUAUUGGCGAGAAACCGAUAGCGCACAAGUACCGUGAGGGAAAGAUGAAAAGAACUUUGAAAAGAGAGUUAAACAGUACGUGAAAUUGUUGAAAGGGAAACGCUUGGAGUCAGUCGUGUUCUGCAAAAUCAACCUAACCUUUGGUUGGGUGUAUUUUUUGUAGAAUGGGUCAGCAUCAAUUUUGAUUGUUGGAAAAAGGACUUGGGAAUGUGGCAUCUUUGGAUGUGUUAUAGCCCUUGUUUGUAUACAAUGAUUGGGAUUGAGGAACUCAGUGUGACAUUUGUUUGGGGGCAUUGCCUCACAUCAACGCACUUAGGAUGCUGGCAUAAUGGCUUUAAUCGACCCGUCUUGAAACACGGACCAAGGAGUCUAACAUGCAUGCAAGUGUUUGGGUGGAAAACUCAAGCGCGUAAUGAAAGUGAAAGUUGAGAACCCUGUCGUGGGGUGCAUCGACGCCCGGUCUUGACCUUUUGUGACGGACCUGCGGUAGAGCAUGUAUGUUGGGACCCGAAGAUGGUGAACUAUGCCUGAUAGGUGAAGCCAGAGGAACUCUGGUGAGCUCGUAGCGAUUCUGACGUGCAAUCGAUCGUCGAUUGGGUAUAGGCGAAGACUAUCGACAUCUAGUAGCUGUUCUGC
RNAcentral lists this ribosomal RNA (900 nucleotides) under Hodophilus variabilipes. Its description in RNAcentral is "LSU rRNA". It matches the Rfam family "Eukaryotic large subunit ribosomal RNA", at positions 62 to 960 of the family's 3401-position model. The record is from RNAcentral. Lineage: Eukaryota; Fungi; Basidiomycota; Agaricomycetes; Agaricales; Clavariaceae.